This 292-nucleotide ribosomal RNA is filed under the name Salmonella enterica. RNAcentral's name for it is "partial 16S ribosomal RNA". It matches the Rfam family "Bacterial small subunit ribosomal RNA", at positions 679 to 970 of the family's 1533-position model. Lineage: Bacteria; Pseudomonadati; Pseudomonadota; Gammaproteobacteria; Enterobacterales; Enterobacteriaceae. The record is from RNAcentral.
CGGUGAAAUGCGUAGAGAUCUGGAGGAAUACCGGUGGCGAAGGCGGCCCCCUGGACAAAGACUGACGCUCAGGUGCGAAAGCGUGGGGAGCAAACAGGAUUAGAUACCCUGGUAGUCCACGCCGUAAACGAUGUCUACUUGGAGGUUGUGCCCUUGAGGCGUGGCUUCCGGAGCUAACGCGUUAAGUAGACCGCCUGGGGAGUACGGCCGCAAGGUUAAAACUCAAAUGAAUUGACGGGGGCCCGCACAAGCGGUGGAGCAUGUGGUUUAAUUCGAUGCAACGCGAAGAACC